RNAcentral lists this unclassified non-coding RNA (314 nucleotides) under plant metagenome. Its description in RNAcentral is "partial contains 5.8S ribosomal RNA, internal transcribed spacer 2, and large subunit ribosomal RNA". The stretch from base 1 to 105 matches the Rfam family "5.8S ribosomal RNA", at positions 50 to 154 of the family's 154-position model. The record is from RNAcentral.
GAAAUGCGAUAAUUAAUGUGAAUUGCAGAAUUCAGUGAACCAUCGAGUCUUUGAACGCACAUUGCGCCCCCUGGUAUUCCGGGGGGCAUGCCUGUCCGAGCGUCAUUGCUGCCCUCAAGCACGGCUUGUGUGUUGGGCUUCCGUCCCUGGCAACGGGGACGGGCCCAAAAGGCAGUGGCGGCACCAUGUCUGGUCCUCGAGCGUAUGGGGCUUUGUCACCCGCUCCCGUAGGUCCAGCUGGCAGCUAGCCUCGCAACCAAUCUUUUUAACCAGGUUGACCUCGGAUCAGGUAGGGAUACCCGCUGAACUUAAGC